CAUGCAAGUCGAGCGGUAACAGACAUAAAGAUUCAGCUUGCUGAAUCCGGUGCUGACGAGCGGCGAACGGGUGAGUAACGCGUAGGAAUCUACCCAGUAGCGGGGGAUAGCCCGAGGAAACUCGGAUUAAUACCGCAUACGCCCUGAGGGGGAAAGGGGGCAGUUUACUGCUCUCACUAUUGGAUGAGCCUGCGUAAGAUUAGCUUGUUGGUAGGGUAACGGCCUACCAAGGCGACGAUCUUUAGCUGGUCUGAGAGGACGAUCAGCCACAUUGGGACUGAGACACGGCCCAGACAUCUACGGAUGGCAGCAGUUAAGAAUAUUGGACAAUGGGGGCAACCCUGAUCCAGGUAUACCGCGUGUGUGAAGAAGGCCCUAGGGUUGUAAAGCACUUUAAUCAGAGAAGAAGCAUUUUAAGUUAAUACCUUAUUAUGUUGACGUUACCUGAAGAAUAAGGACCGGCUAACUCCGUGCCAGCAGCCGCGGUAAUACGGAGGGUCCAAGCGUUAAUCGGAAUUACUGGGCGUAAAGCGCGCGUAGGCGGUUUAGCAAGUUGUAUGUGAAAGCCCUGGGCUCAACCUAGGAACUGCAUCCAAAACUACUAAGCUAGAGUACGAGAGAGGAGAGUAGAAUUUCUGGUGUAGCGGUGAAAUGCGUAGAUAUCAGAAGGAAUACCAAUGGCGAAGGCAGCUCUCUGGCUCGUCACUGACGCUGAGGUGCGAAAGCGUGGGUAGCAAACAGGAUUAGAUACCCUGGUAGUCCACGCCGUAAACGAUGACAACUAGCCGUUGGGCAGAUUUAACUGUUCAGUGGCACAGCUAACGCAUUAAGUUGUCCGCCUGGGG
Molecule: ribosomal RNA, 845 nt
Filed under: uncultured Gammaproteobacteria bacterium
Lineage: Bacteria; Pseudomonadati; Pseudomonadota; Gammaproteobacteria
Description: bacterial SSU rRNA
Rfam family: Bacterial small subunit ribosomal RNA
Source: RNAcentral